CUUUGACGUUAUUCUCAAAUCAGGUAGGACUACCCGCUGAACUUAAGCAUAUCAAUAAGCGGAGG
RNAcentral lists this ribosomal RNA (65 nucleotides) under Diutina mesorugosa. Its description in RNAcentral is "partial 28S ribosomal RNA". The stretch from base 10 to 65 matches the Rfam family "Eukaryotic large subunit ribosomal RNA", at positions 1 to 56 of the family's 3401-position model. The record is from RNAcentral. Lineage: Eukaryota; Fungi; Ascomycota; Pichiomycetes; Serinales; Debaryomycetaceae.